AUGUGAUUGGGCAUUUUAUAGUAAACCAUGCAAGUUCAUUGACGCGCAGGAGAAAGUCUUUAAAAUCUGGUCUCUGGACCGGUAGUUCAGCUAUGAUUGGCAAGGAACUUAGCUCAUUUCUUGGAUCUUCAACAAAUGGUAGGGCAAACACAAACGAAUCUGCACCAGAUCCACUUCUAUCACCAUUUCUUGGCAGUGGAUCCCAUUCACACCCUCAAGGAAGCCAAGAAGAUGAAUCUUCCAAUAUAACUGCCCAUUUAAAAAGCACUGAGACACCUUCACUUGAUGGAGGUGAUGAGAUGGAUUCUGAAGAGAGAAGGCAUAGAGCAGCAUUUGUUCAAGAGUUGAUUUCCUCAACCAUCUUCUAAAGCUUUGUCAGUUUUCUGCGUGAUGCAAACGGUUGCACUACUCAUCGUUCACCACCUAUAAAUGAUGUUGCAUCUACAGACACUGGGGUUUUUAUUACUGGUGCAUGGAUUUAGGAAAGCUAAACAUCGUGGAGUGGAUGGUGAAUGGCUAAGUCGGGAAUCAAAUACAUCUUGUAUUUAAUGUCUCUACAUAUAUGUAGCCUCUUAAAAACUAGCUUUAGC
RNAcentral lists this unclassified non-coding RNA (590 nucleotides) under Hevea brasiliensis (rubber tree). Lineage: Eukaryota; Viridiplantae; Streptophyta; Magnoliopsida; Malpighiales; Euphorbiaceae. The record is from RNAcentral.